CCCAGGACACAUCCAAGUUGGCAGAACAAUCACAUUGGGGGGCUCUGGAACCAAGUGUGGGGAGUUCGAUUCCUGGUUGGAGCAGUCAAGUGAUGUAAUAAUCAGAGGAAGGGUUGGAGCAGCUUGGUGAUGUAAUAACCAUGGAGGAGGGUCCCUUUGGGGAAGGAGUAAAAGCCAUGUGGGAACCUGAGAACCAACAAGGGCACAACCUGCGAUUUACCUCCACUAGUCACUGAGGGGCCGGGGGCUAGAGGUCCAGGAUUUAGUCCGGCUAAGCUGGGACACCUGGGUUAUCAAAAAAAAAAAAAA
RNAcentral lists this long non-coding RNA (309 nucleotides) under Olea europaea (common olive). RNAcentral describes it as "long non-coding RNA (OEUR_LNC012658)". Lineage: Eukaryota; Viridiplantae; Streptophyta; Magnoliopsida; Lamiales; Oleaceae. The record is from RNAcentral.